CAGCCGCCGCGGGAAUACGGAGGGCGCGAGCGUUACCCGGAUUUACUGGGCGUAAAGGGCGUGUAGGCGGCCUGGGGCGUCCCAUGUGAAAAGCCACGGCUCAACCGUGGAGGAGCGUGGGAUACGCUCAGGCUAGAGGGUGGGAGAGGGUGGUGGAAUUCCCGGAGUAGCGGUGAAAUGCGCAGAUACCGGGAGGAACGCCGAUGGCGAAGGCAGCCACCUGGUCCACUUCUGACGCUGAGGCGCGAAAGCGUGGGGAGCAAACCGGAUUAGAUACCCCUGUAGUCCCUGUCUCUUAUAC
RNAcentral lists this ribosomal RNA (301 nucleotides) under uncultured bacterium. RNAcentral describes it as "partial 16S ribosomal RNA". It matches the Rfam family "Bacterial small subunit ribosomal RNA", at positions 509 to 807 of the family's 1533-position model. The record is from RNAcentral.